RNAcentral lists this ribosomal RNA (301 nucleotides) under uncultured bacterium. RNAcentral's name for it is "partial 16S ribosomal RNA". It matches the Rfam family "Bacterial small subunit ribosomal RNA", at positions 509 to 807 of the family's 1533-position model. The record is from RNAcentral.
CAGUAGCCGCGGUAAUACGAAGGGCGCAAGCGUUAAUCGGAAUUACUGGGCGUAAAGCGUGCGUAGGCGGUUUGUUAAGUCUGCUGUGAAAUCCCCGGGCUCAACCUGGGAAUGGCAGUGGAUACUGGCAAGCUAGAGUGUGUCAGGGGAUGGUGGAAUUCCCGGUGUAGCGGUGAAAUGCGUAGAGAUCGGGAGGAACAUCAGUGGCGAAGGCGGCCAUCUGGGACAACACUGACGCUGAGGCACGAAAGCGUGGGGAGCAAACAGGAUUAGAUACCCCGGUAGUCCCUGUCUCUUAUAC